RNAcentral lists this ribosomal RNA (584 nucleotides) under uncultured Lactococcus sp. RNAcentral's name for it is "bacterial SSU rRNA". It matches the Rfam family "Bacterial small subunit ribosomal RNA", at positions 340 to 916 of the family's 1533-position model. The record is from RNAcentral. Lineage: Bacteria; Bacillati; Bacillota; Bacilli; Lactobacillales; Streptococcaceae.
UACGGGAGGCAGCAGUAGGGAAUCUUCGGCAAUGGACGAAAGUCUGACCGAGCAACGCCGCGUGAGUGAAGAAGGUUUUCGGAUCGUAAAACUCUGUUGGUAGAGAAGAACGUUGGUGAGAGUGGAAAGCUCAUCAAGUGACGGUAACUACCCAGAAAGGGACGGCUAACUACGUGCCAGCAGCCGCGGUAAUACGUAGGUCCCGAGCGUUGUCCGGAUUUAUUGGGCGUAAAGCGAGCGCAGGUGGUUUAUUAAGUCUGGUGUAAAAGGCAGUGGCUCAACCAUUGUAUGCAUUGGAAACUGGUAGACUUGAGUGCAGGAGAGGAGAGUGGAAUUCCAUGUGUAGCGGUGAAAUGCGUAGAUAUAUGGAGGAACACCGGUGGCGAAAGCGGCUCUCUGGCCUGUAACUGACACUGAGGCUCGAAAGCGUGGGGAGCAAACAGGAUUAGAUACCCUGGUAGUCCACGCCGUAAACGAUGAGUGCUAGAUGUAGGGAGCUAUAAGUUCUCUGUAUCGCAGCUAACGCAAUAAGCACUCCGCCUGGGGAGUACGACCGCAAGGUUGAAACUCAAAGGAAUUGACGG